UACGUAGGGGGUAAGUGUUGUUUGGAUUUAUUGGGCGUAAAGCGCGUGUAGGCGGCCAGGUAGGUCCGCUGUGAAAACCCGAGGCUCAACCUCGGGACGUCGGCGGAAACCAUCUGGCUAGAGUCCGGAAGAGGAGAGUGGAAUUCCCGGUGUAGCGGUGAAAUGCGCAGAUAUCGGGAAGAACACCCGUGGCGAAGGCGGCUCUCUGGGACGGUACUGACGCUGAGACGCGAAAGCGUGGGGAGCGAACAGG
This 253-nucleotide ribosomal RNA is filed under the name uncultured bacterium. Its description in RNAcentral is "partial 16S ribosomal RNA". It matches the Rfam family "Bacterial small subunit ribosomal RNA", at positions 524 to 776 of the family's 1533-position model. The record is from RNAcentral.